GAUGAACGCUAGCGGCAGGCCUAAUACAUGCAAGCCGAACGGUAAGAUUUGUAGCAAUACGAGUCCUAGAGUGGCGUAAGGGUGCGUAACACGUAUGCAAUCUGCCCCGCAACUGGAGGAUAGCUCGGGGAAACCCGGAUUAACCCUCCAUAAGAUCACACAAUGGCAUCAAAGAGUGAUUAAAUCUCCGGAGGUUGCGGAUGAGCAUGCGGUUGAUUAGCUAGUUGGUAGUGUAACGGACUACCAAGGCAAUGAUCAAUAGGGGAACUGAGAGGUUGAACCCCCANACUGGCACUGAGAUACGGGCCAGACUCC
RNAcentral lists this ribosomal RNA (315 nucleotides) under uncultured bacterium. RNAcentral's name for it is "bacterial SSU rRNA". It matches the Rfam family "Bacterial small subunit ribosomal RNA", at positions 28 to 339 of the family's 1533-position model. The record is from RNAcentral.